GAGGGUAGAGCUCAGUGGUAGAGCACAUGCUUAACAUGCACGAGGUCCUGGGUUCUAUCCCCAGUACCUCCA
RNAcentral lists this transfer RNA (72 nucleotides) under Camelus bactrianus (Bactrian camel). It matches the Rfam family "tRNA". From Rfam's summary of the family: Transfer RNA (tRNA) molecules are approximately 80 nucleotides in length. Their secondary structure includes four short double-helical elements and three loops (D, anti-codon, and T loops). Further hydrogen bonds mediate the characteristic L-shaped molecular structure. tRNAs have two regions of fundamental functional importance: the anti-codon, which is responsible for specific mRNA codon recognition, and the 3' end, to which the tRNAs corresponding amino acid is attached (by aminoacyl-tRNA synthetases). tRNAs cope with the degeneracy of the genetic code in two manners: having more than one tRNA (with a specific anti-codon) for a particular amino acid; and 'wobble' base-pairing, i.e. permitting non-standard base-pairing at the 3rd anti-codon position. The record is from Rfam by way of RNAcentral. Lineage: Eukaryota; Metazoa; Chordata; Mammalia; Artiodactyla; Camelidae. RNAcentral also lists the same sequence under 2 other names.